AGCGAACGCUGGCGGCAGGCCUAACACAUGCAAGUCGAACGAACCUUUCGGGGUUAGUGGCGGACGGGUGAGUAACACGUGGGAACGUGCCUUUAGGUUCGGAAUAACUCAGGUAAACUUGUGCUAAUACCGAAUGUGCCCUUCUGGUGAAAGAUUUAUCGCCUUUAGAGCGGCCCGCGUCUGAUUAGCUAGUUGGUUGAGGUAAUGGCUCACCAAGGCUACGAUCAGUAGCUGGUCUGAGAGGAUGAUCAGCCACAUUGGUACUGGGACACGGACCAAAAUACUACGGGAGGCAGCAGUGGGGAAUCUUGCGCAAUGGGCGAAAGCCUGAAGCAGCCAUGCCGCGUGAAUGAUGAAGGUCUUAGGAUAGUACAAUUCUUUAACCGGGGACGAUAAUGACGGUACCCGGAGAAGAAGCCCCGGCUAACUUCGUG
RNAcentral lists this ribosomal RNA (434 nucleotides) under uncultured bacterium. RNAcentral's name for it is "partial 16S ribosomal RNA". It matches the Rfam family "Bacterial small subunit ribosomal RNA", at positions 29 to 507 of the family's 1533-position model. The record is from RNAcentral.